AGGCGACGACGGGUAGCCGGCCUGAGAGGGCGACCGGCCACACUGGGACUGAGACACGGCCCAGACUCCUACGGGAGGCAGCAGUGGGGAAUAUUGCACAAUGGGCGCWAGCCUGAUGCAGCGACGCCGCGUGAGGGAUGACGGCCUUCGGGUUGUAAACCUCUUUCAGCAGGGACGAAGCGUGAGUGACGGUACCUGCAGAAGAAGCACCGGCCAACUACGUGCCAGCAGCCGCGGUAAUACGUAGGGUGCAAGCGUUGUCCGGAAUUACUGGGCGUAAAGAGCUCGUAGGCGGUUUGUCGCGUCGUCUGUGAAAACCAGCAGCUCAACUGUUGGCUUGCAGGCGAUACGGGCAGACUUGAGUAUUUCAGGGGAGACUGGAAUUCCUGGUGUAGCGGUGAAAUGCGCAGAUAUCAGGAGGAACACCGGUGGCGAAGGCGGGUCUCUGGGAAAUAACUGACGCUGAGGAGCGAAAGCGUGGGUAGCGAACAGGAUUAGAUACCCUGGUAGUCCACGCCGUAAACGGUGGGCGCUAGGUGUGGGUUUCCUUCCACGGGAUCCGUGCCGUAGCUAACGCAUUAAGCGCCCCGCCUGGGRARUACGG
RNAcentral lists this ribosomal RNA (604 nucleotides) under Rhodococcus sp. CMT75. RNAcentral describes it as "bacterial SSU rRNA". It matches the Rfam family "Bacterial small subunit ribosomal RNA", at positions 271 to 885 of the family's 1533-position model. Lineage: Bacteria; Bacillati; Actinomycetota; Actinomycetes; Mycobacteriales; Nocardiaceae. The record is from RNAcentral.